UACGUAGGGGGCGAGCGUUGUCCGGAUUUAUUGGGCGUAAAGAGCGUGUAGGCGGCCUGGCAGGUCUGCUGUGAAAACUCGAGGCUCAACCUCGAGAUGUCGGCGGAAACCGUCUGGCUAGAGUCCGGAAGAGGAGAGUGGAAUUCCUGGUGUAGCGGUGAAAUGCGCAGAUAUCAGGAAGAACACCCGUGGCGAAGGCGGCUCUCUGGGACGGUACUGACGCUGAGACGCGAAAGCGUGGGGAGCGAACAGG
This 253-nucleotide ribosomal RNA is filed under the name uncultured bacterium. RNAcentral's name for it is "partial 16S ribosomal RNA". It matches the Rfam family "Bacterial small subunit ribosomal RNA", at positions 524 to 776 of the family's 1533-position model. The record is from RNAcentral.